This is a long non-coding RNA of Hermetia illucens (black soldier fly), 363 nucleotides long. RefSeq lists it as uncharacterized. The transcript is spliced from 2 exons. The record is from RefSeq and is a predicted model, not a curated record. NCBI's taxonomy places the organism in Eukaryota, Metazoa, Arthropoda, Insecta, Diptera, Stratiomyidae.
GUUUGCUUUGAUAAGUUAUAUUUGCAUACUCGGUUUUUGAUAACAGAAAUUCCAUAUUGGGAAUUAUGGUGCCGCAUGCCAAGCUAGUGUAGAGGAGAGAAUUGAAUGGAAGAACUUAAGGCGCGAAAUUGAUUUAGAUGUAUGAAAUUAUUUCAAUAAUCGAAAAUUGUGAUAGUGAGAUACGAGCUCAAUGCUCAAUCUUGUAUUCAGGGGUUCGAUAUUAGAAAGCCCACGCCUCCUUAGAAGCCUCGCGUUUGAUGGAAUUUAGGAAGCGUUUUUAAAAGUGUUCAUUGGAUGCAGUUAUGGAGUGAUUCCAGAGAUUUGAAACUUCUUAUCUAGAUUAAAGGUGUUUUAUAAAUUGAA